AGUGAACGCUGGCGGUAGGCCUAACACAUGCAAGUCGAACGGCAGCACAGUAAGAGCUUGCUCUUACGGGUGGCGAGUGGCGGACGGGUGAGGAAUACAUCGGAAUCUACUUUUUCGUGGGGGAUAACGUAGGGAAACUUACGCUAAUACCGCAUACGACCUACGGGUGAAAGCAGGGGAUCUUCGGACCUUGCGCGAUUGAAUGAGCCGAUGUCGGAUUAGCUAGUUGGCGGGGUAAAGGCCCACCAAGGCGACGAUCCGUAGCUGGUCUGAGAGGAUGAUCAGCCACACUGGAACUGAGACACGGUCCAGACUCCUACGGGAGGCAGCAGUGGGGAAUAUUGGACAAUGGGCGCAAGCCUGAUCCAGCCAUACCGCGUGGGUGAAGAAGGCCUUCGGAUUGUAAAGCCCUUUUGUUUGGAAAGAAAAGCAGCAGGUUAAUACCCCGCUGUUCUGACGGUACCCAAAGAAUAAGCACCGGCUAACUUCGUG
RNAcentral lists this ribosomal RNA (492 nucleotides) under uncultured bacterium. RNAcentral's name for it is "partial 16S ribosomal RNA". It matches the Rfam family "Bacterial small subunit ribosomal RNA", at positions 29 to 507 of the family's 1533-position model. The record is from RNAcentral.